RNAcentral lists this transfer RNA (77 nucleotides) under Clostridia bacterium. RNAcentral describes it as "tRNA-Met". It matches the Rfam family "tRNA". From Rfam's summary of the family: Transfer RNA (tRNA) molecules are approximately 80 nucleotides in length. Their secondary structure includes four short double-helical elements and three loops (D, anti-codon, and T loops). Lineage: Bacteria; Bacillati; Bacillota; Clostridia. The record is from RNAcentral.
UCCGGAGUAGUUCAGAGGAAGAACACAGGAUUCAUAGGUCCUGAAAGCCGCCGGUUCGAGUCCGGCCUCCGGCUCCA